GCGAACAAGGUGCUUGCUCCUUUGACGUUAGCGGCGGACGGGUGAGUAACACGUGGGUAACCUACCUAUAAGACUGGGAUAACUUCGGGAAACCGGAGCUAAUACCGGAUAAUAUUUCGAACCGCAUGGUUCGAUAGUGAAAGAUGGUUUUGCUAUCACUUAUAGAUGGACCCGCGCCGUAUUAGCUAGUUGGUAAGGUAACGGCUUACCAAGGCGACGAUACGUAGCCGACCUGAGAGGGUGAUCGGCCACACUGGAACUGAGACACGGUCCAGACUCCUACGGGAGGCAGCAGUAGGGAAUCUUCCGCAAUGGGCGAAAGCCUGACGGAGCAACGCCGCGUGAGUGAUGAAGGUCUUCGGAUCGUAAAACUCUGUUAUUAGGGAAGAACAUACGUGUAAGUAACUAUGCACGUCUUGACGGUACCUAAUCAGAAAGCCACGGCUAACUACGUGCCAGCAGCCGCGGUAAUACGUAGGUGGCAAGCGUUAUCCGGAAUUAUUGGGCGUAAAGCGCGCGUAGGCGGUUUUUUAAGUCUGAUGUGAAAGCCCACGGCUCAACCGUGGAGGGUCAUUGGAAACUGGAAAACUUGAGUGCAGAAGAGGAAAGUGGAAUUCCAUGUGUAGCGGUGAAAUGCGCAGAGAUAUGGAGGAACACCAGUGGCGAAAGCGACUUUCUGGUCUGUAACUGACGCUGAUGUGCGAAAGCGUGGGGAUCAAACAGGAUUAGAUACCCUGGGUAGUCCACGCCGUAACGAUGAGUGCUAAGUGUUAGGGGUUUCCGCCCCCUUAGUGCUGCAGCUAACGGCAUUAGCAACCUCCGCCUGGGAGUUACGACCUGCAGUUGGAACUCAAGUAUGAACCGGACCCCGCA
RNAcentral lists this ribosomal RNA (873 nucleotides) under Staphylococcus haemolyticus. Its description in RNAcentral is "bacterial SSU rRNA". It matches the Rfam family "Bacterial small subunit ribosomal RNA", at positions 66 to 925 of the family's 1533-position model. Lineage: Bacteria; Bacillati; Bacillota; Bacilli; Caryophanales; Staphylococcaceae. The record is from RNAcentral.